AAUCAACGCUGGCGGCGUGCCUAACACAUGCAAGUCGAACGCGAAAGCCCCUUCGGGGGCAAGUAGAGUGGCGUCCGGGUGAGUAACACGUGGGUAAUCUACCUCCGGGUGGGGAAUAACUCGCCGAAAGGCGGGCUAAUACCGCAUAAUGCAGCGGCACCGAAUGGUGAUUAGUUGUUAAAGCGGGGGACCUUAGGGCCUCGCGUCUGGAGAGGAGCCUGCGGCAGAUUAGCUUGUUGGAGGGUAAUGGCCUACCAAGGCUGCGAUCUGUAGCUGGUCUGAGAGGACGGCCAGCCACACUGGCACUGACACACGGGCCAGACUCCUACGGGAGGCAGCAGUGGGGAA
RNAcentral lists this ribosomal RNA (348 nucleotides) under uncultured bacterium. RNAcentral's name for it is "bacterial SSU rRNA". It matches the Rfam family "Bacterial small subunit ribosomal RNA", at positions 32 to 361 of the family's 1533-position model. The record is from RNAcentral.